GAUGAAGAACGUAGCGAAAUGCGAUAAGUAAUGUGAAUUGCAGAAUUCAGUGAAUCAUCGAAUCUUUGAACGCACAUUGCGCCCCUUGGUAUUCCGAGGGGCAUGCCUGUUCGAGCGUCAUUAUAACCCCUCAAGCUCAGCUUGGUGUUGGGGCCUGCUGCACUGGCAGCCCUUAAAAUCAGUGGCGGCGCCAUCUGGCUCUAAGCGUAAUAAUUCUUCUCGCUAUGGAGUCCUGGUGGAUGCUUGCCAUCAACCCCCAAUUUUUCUAUGGUUGACCUCGGAUCAGGUAGGGAUACCCGCUGAACUUAAGCAUAUCAAUAAGCGGAGGA
RNAcentral lists this unclassified non-coding RNA (329 nucleotides) under soil metagenome. RNAcentral's name for it is "partial contains 5.8S ribosomal RNA, internal transcribed spacer 2, and large subunit ribosomal RNA". The stretch from base 1 to 120 matches the Rfam family "5.8S ribosomal RNA", at positions 35 to 154 of the family's 154-position model. The record is from RNAcentral.